RNAcentral lists this ribosomal RNA (200 nucleotides) under uncultured bacterium. RNAcentral's name for it is "partial 16S ribosomal RNA". It matches the Rfam family "Bacterial small subunit ribosomal RNA", at positions 30 to 232 of the family's 1533-position model. The record is from RNAcentral.
AUUGAACGCUGGCGGCAUGCCUUACACAUGCAAGUCGAACGGUAACGCGGGGCAACCUGGCGACGAGUGGCGAACGGGUGAGUAAUAUAUCGGAACGUGCCCAGACGUGGGGGAUAGCUCGGCGAAAGCCGGAUUAAUACCGCAUAAGCUCUGAGGAGGAAAGCGGGGGACCGUAAGGCCUCGCGCGUUUGGAGCGGCCG